GAAAUGCGAUACGUAAUGCGAAUUGCAGAACGCGAGUCAUCAAAUCUUUGAACGCACCUGGCGCUUCCGGUAACUCGGGAGCAUGCUUGUUUCAGUGUCGUCCCACCCUCUCCCGCCUCCGGCUCUUCAUCGAGUCGGCCGGCGUGGAGGUCGUUGAGCCUCCCCUCGCGCUCAUUUGCGGGAGCAGGCUUCAAGUGUGGUCUUGUAAACAUGUUGCAGCGUUCGCAGCUCUGCUGCUGGCAUGGUGAGGUAGUGUUGGCCGUCAAAAGCCUCUCACAAAUGCCCCCAAGCCGCUUCAAGGCAGCAGUGCAUACCAAAUGCGGGCGCAAUUGUACACAUGAGGCGUCGCGCUUUCGAGUGCGGUGCCGACAACACAACUUUCAACUACCGACCUGAAAUC
This 400-nucleotide unclassified non-coding RNA is filed under the name uncultured fungus. Its description in RNAcentral is "sequence contains ITS1". The stretch from base 1 to 100 matches the Rfam family "5.8S ribosomal RNA", at positions 50 to 154 of the family's 154-position model. Lineage: Eukaryota; Fungi. The record is from RNAcentral.